This 460-nucleotide ribosomal RNA is filed under the name uncultured bacterium. RNAcentral's name for it is "partial 16S ribosomal RNA". It matches the Rfam family "Bacterial small subunit ribosomal RNA", at positions 338 to 795 of the family's 1533-position model. The record is from RNAcentral.
CCUACGGGCGGCAGCAGUGAGGAAUAUUGGUCAAUGGACGAGAGUCUGAACCAGCCAAGUAGCGUGAAGGAUGACUGCCCUAUGGGUUGUAAACUUCUUUUAUAAAGGAAUAAAACGAGGCACGUGUGCCUUUUUGCAUGUACUUUAUGAAUAAGGAUCGGCUAACUCCGUGCCAGCAGCCGCGGUAAUACGGAGGAUCCGAGCGUUAUCCGGAUUUAUUGGGUUUAAAGGGAGCGUAGAUGGGUUGUUAAGUCAGUUGUGAAAGUUUGCGGCUCAACCGUAAAAUUGCAAUUGAUACUGGCAGUCGUGAGUACAGUUGAGGUAAGCGGAAUUCGUGGUGUAGCGGUGAAAUGCUUAGAUAUCACGAAGAACCCCGAUUGCGAAGGCAGCUUACUAAACUGUGACUGACAUUGAUGCUCGAAAGUGUGGGUAUCAAACAGGAUUAGAUACCCCAGUAGUC